Molecule: ribosomal RNA, 468 nt
Filed under: uncultured bacterium
Lineage: Bacteria
Description: partial 16S ribosomal RNA
Rfam family: Bacterial small subunit ribosomal RNA
Source: RNAcentral
GACGAACGCUGGCGGCGUGCUUAACACAUGCAAGUCGAACGGAAAGGCCCUGCUUUUGUGGGGUGCUCGAGUGGCGAACGGGUGAGUAACACGUGAGUAACCUGCCCUUGACUUUGGGAUAACUUCAGGAAACUGGGGCUAAUACCGGAUAGGAGCUCCUGCUGCAUGGUGGGGGUUGGAAAGUUUCGGCGGUUGGGGAUGGACUCGCGGCUUAUCAGCUUGUUGGUGGGGUAGUGGCUUACCAAGGCUUUGACGGGUAGCCGGCCUGAGAGGGUGACCGGCAACAUGGGGACUGAGAAGCGGCCCAGACUCAGAGGGGAGGCAGAGGGGGGGAAUAUUGAAAAAGGGGCGGAAGCCUAAUGCAGCCACGCCGCGGGGGGGAAGACGGCUUGCGGAUGUAAAACCCUUUCCGCCUGGAAAGGAGAGUGAGUGACGGAAAUGGGAAAAGAAACCCCGGAAAACAACGUG